GCUUACCACUUUGUGGUUCAUGACUGGGGUGAAGUCGUAACAAGGUAGCGCUAGGGGAACCUGGCGCUGGAUCACCUCCUUAAACGAUGAU
This 91-nucleotide ribosomal RNA is filed under the name Vibrio alginolyticus. RNAcentral describes it as "partial 16S ribosomal RNA". It matches the Rfam family "Bacterial small subunit ribosomal RNA", at positions 1452 to 1533 of the family's 1533-position model. Lineage: Bacteria; Pseudomonadati; Pseudomonadota; Gammaproteobacteria; Vibrionales; Vibrionaceae. The record is from RNAcentral.